CUUCCGGAGGCGGUUGGCCGUGGGUAGCUGACCGAAGACACGGUUAAGGGGCGACUACUGCAGUUUCCUGAGGCUGCCUCUUGGGGGCGCCUGGGUGGCUCAGUUCCUUAAGUGUCUGACUCUCGAUUUCAGCUCAGGUCGUGCGUGAUCUCUUAGUUGAGUGAAGAAUUCCAUUAUACAGAUGAAAAAACCAAAGCACAGAGAAAAUCAGUAACAUACAAGACUACAAAGCUACAGUCUCUUACUCUAUUUUUCCUGUCAUUUCCCCUCCACUCCACUCCUGACUUCCUCAGAAUGACAUGAACCAGAAAAGCUGGAGGAUUUCUGAGCCAGUGGCCUCCCAACAGUUUCAAUCAUAUGCUCCUCAGUGAGUAUUUCCUUAUAAACUGUAACAUAUAUACGUUUGUAUUAAUAUAUACCUUCUAUAUACAAAAUUAAAGGAUAAAAAUUAAAAAUAAAAGUGAAUGGAUACGCUAAUAUUUCCUUCUCUACACUUACU
Molecule: long non-coding RNA, 499 nt
Organism: Neofelis nebulosa (Clouded leopard)
Lineage: Eukaryota; Metazoa; Chordata; Mammalia; Carnivora; Felidae
Exons: 3
Source: RefSeq, a predicted model, not a curated record